Molecule: ribosomal RNA, 432 nt
Filed under: uncultured bacterium
Lineage: Bacteria
Description: partial 16S ribosomal RNA
Rfam family: Bacterial small subunit ribosomal RNA
Source: RNAcentral
AGCGAACGCUGGCGGCAGGCCUAACACAUGCAAGUCGAACGGAUCCUUCGGGAUUAGUGGCGGACGGGUGAGUAACACGUGGGAACGUGCCCUUUGGUUCGGAACAACUCAGGGAAACUUGAGCUAAUACCGGAUGUGCCCUUCGGGGGAAAGAUUAUCGCCAUUGGAGCGGCCCGCGUCUGAUUAGCUAGUUGGUGAGGUAACGGCCCACCAAGGCGACGAUCAGUAGCUGGUCUGAGAGGAUGAUCAGCCACACUGGGACUGAGACACGGCCCAGACUCCUACGGGAGGCAGCAGUGGGGAAUCUUGCGCAAUGGGCGAAAGCCUGACGCAGCCAUGCCGCGUGAAUGAUGAAGGUCUUAGGAUUGUAAAAUUCUUUCAGCGGGGACGAUAAUGACGGUACCCGCAGAAGAAGCUCCGGCUAACUUCGUG